GAUGAACGCUGGCGGCGUGCCUAAUACAUGCAAGUCGAGCGAACGGACGAGAAGCUUGCUUCUCUGAUGUUAGCGGCGGACGGGUGAGUAACACGUGGAUAACCUACCUAUAAGACUGGGAUAACUUCGGGAAACCGGAGCUAAUACCGGAUAAUAUUUUGAACCGCAUGGUUCAAAAGUGAAAGACGGUCUUGCUGUCACUUAUAGAUGGAUCCGCGCUGCAUUAGCUAGUUGGUAAGGUAACGGCUUACCAAGGCAACGAUGCAUAGCCGACCUGAGAGGGUGAUCGGCCACACUGGAACUGAGACACGGUCCAGACUCCUACGGGAGGCAGCAGUAGGGAAUCUUCCGCAAUGGGCGAAAGCCUGACGGAGCAACGCCGCGUGAGUGAUGAAGGUCUUCGGAUCGUAAAACUCUGUUAUUAGGGAAGAACAUAUGUGUAAGUAACUGUGCACAUCUUGACGGUACCUAAUCAGAAAGCCACGGCUAACUACGUGCCAGCAGCCGCGGUAACACGUAGGUGGCAAGCGUUAUCCGGAAUUAUUGGGCGUAAAGCGCGCGUAGGCGGUUUUUUAAGUCUGAUGUGAAAGCCCACGGCUCAACCGUGGAGGGUCAUUGGAAACUGGAAAACUUGAGUGCAGAAGAGGAAAGUGGAAUUCCAUGUGUAGCGGUGAAAUGCGCAGAGAUAUGGAGGAACACCAGUGGCGAAGGCGACUUUCUGGUCUGUAACUGACGCUGAUGUGCGAAAGCGUGGGGAUCAAACAGGAUUAGAUACCCUGGUAGUCCACGCCGUAAACGAUGAGUGCUAAGUGUUAGGGGGUUUCCGCCCCUUAGUGCUGCAGCUAACGCAUUAAGCACUCCGCCUGGGGAGUACGACCGCAAGGUUGAAACUCAAAGGAAUUGACGGGGACCCGCACAAGCGGUGGAGCAUGUGGUUUAAUUCGAAGCAACGCGAAGAACCUUACCAAAUCUUGACAUCCUUUGACAACUCUAGAGAUAGAGCCUUCCCCUUCGGGGGACAAAGUGACAGGUGGUGCAUGGUUGUCGUCAGCUCGUGUCGUGAGAUGUUGGGUUAAGUCCCGCAACGAGCGCAACCCUUAAGCUUAGUUGCCAUCAUUAAGUUGGGCACUCUAAGUUGACUGCCGGUGACAAACCGGAGGAAGGUGGGGAUGACGUCAAAUCAUCAUGCCCCUUAUGAUUUGGGCUACACACGUGCUACAAUGGACAAUACAAAGGGCAGCGAAACCGCGAGGUCAAGCAAAUCCCAUAAAGUUGUUCUCAGUUCGGAUUGUAGUCUGCAACUCGACUACAUGAAGCUGGAAUCGCUAGUAAUCGUAGAUCAGCAUGCUACGGUGAAUACGUUCCCGGGUCU
Molecule: ribosomal RNA, 1372 nt
Filed under: uncultured bacterium
Lineage: Bacteria
Description: bacterial SSU rRNA
Rfam family: Bacterial small subunit ribosomal RNA
Source: RNAcentral